CCUACGGGAGGCAGCAGUGAGGAAUAUUGGUCAAUGGGCGCGAGUCUGAACCAGCCAAGUAGCGUGAAGGAUGACUGCUCUAUGAGUUGUAAACUUCUUUUAUAAAGGAAUAAAGUGAGGUACGUGUGCCUUUUUGUAUGUACUUUAUGAAUAAGGAUCGGCUAACUCCGUGCCAGCAGCCGCGGUAAUACGGAGGAUUCGAGCGUUAUCCGGAUUUAUUGGGUUUAAAGGGAGCGUAGAUGGGUUGUUAAGUCAGUUGUGAAAGCUUGCGGCUCAACCGUAAAAUUGCAAUUGAUACUGGCGGCCUUGAGUACAGUUGAGGUAGGCGGAAUGUGUGGUGUAGCGGUGAAAUGCUUAGAGAUCACAAAGAACUCCGAUUGCGAAGGCAGCCUACUAAACUGCCACUGACAUUGAGGCUCGAAAGUGUGGGUAUCAAACAGGAUUAGAUACCCCAGUAGUC
Molecule: ribosomal RNA, 460 nt
Filed under: uncultured bacterium
Lineage: Bacteria
Description: partial 16S ribosomal RNA
Rfam family: Bacterial small subunit ribosomal RNA
Source: RNAcentral